GCGAAGUAUAUCACAUUUUUACCAUAUGAAAGUUACGAAAUCGCAGAUGUUCACUUUUAGAAUUUUCACUAGAUUCAUUAGAAGUCCUAGAAGUACAGAAUCGGCCCCCUACUCAAGGACUCAAACAUUUCGACAGUGUCGCCACACACAGGGGGGAGAUCAAUCAGGACCUCGUCGGGUUGAGUUUCCUGCUCUCAAACUGUCGGAGCUCAAGAAACAUCCCGUGCAAUAAACGACUUCGUCGGGCCACAUUCCUCUGUGUGAAGUUGUCGCCACACACAGGGGGGAGAUCAAUCAGAACCUCGUCGGGCCGAGUUUCCUGCUCUCAAACUGUCGGAGCUCAAGAAACAUCCCGUGCAAUAAAGGACUUCGAGGAAUUUUAGGAUGUCGAGGUGAUGAUGAAGAGAUUGAUAGAUCACACCUGCUAAUUUUAUCGAUUUCUCAAUAAAGAGAGUCU
Molecule: long non-coding RNA, 457 nt
Organism: Orussus abietinus
Lineage: Eukaryota; Metazoa; Arthropoda; Insecta; Hymenoptera; Orussidae
Exons: 5
Source: RefSeq, a predicted model, not a curated record